CCGGGAGGCAGCAGUGGGGAAUAUUGCACAAUGGGCGAAAGCCUGAUGCAGCGACGCCGCGUGAGGGAUGACGGCCUUCGGGUUGUAAACCUCUUUCAGCAGGGAAGAAGCGAAAGUGACGGUACCUGCAGAAGAAGCGCCGGCUAACUACGUGCCAGCAGCCGCGGUAAUACGUAGGGCGCAAGCGUUGUCCGGAAUUAUUGGGCGUAAAGAGCUCGUAGGCGGCUUGUCGCGUCGGAUGUGAAAGCCCGGGGCUUAACCCCGGGUCUGCAUUCGAUACGGGCAGGCUAGAGUUCGGUAGGGGAGAUCGGAAUUCCUGGUGUAGCGGUGAAAUGCGCAGAUAUCAGGAGGAACACCGGUGGCGAAGGCGGAUCUCUGGGCCGAUACUGACGCUGAGGAGCGAAAGCGUGGGGAGCGAACAGGAUUAGAUACCCUGGUAGUCCACGCCGUAAACGUUGGGCACUAGGUGUGGGCGACAUUCCACGUCGUCCAUGCCGCAGCUACCUGCUUAAGUGCCCCGCCGGGGAGACGGCGCAAGCAU
This 541-nucleotide ribosomal RNA is filed under the name Streptomyces sp. TmMRS1. Its description in RNAcentral is "bacterial SSU rRNA". It matches the Rfam family "Bacterial small subunit ribosomal RNA", at positions 341 to 873 of the family's 1533-position model. Lineage: Bacteria; Bacillati; Actinomycetota; Actinomycetes; Kitasatosporales; Streptomycetaceae. The record is from RNAcentral.